Molecule: long non-coding RNA, 678 nt
Organism: Dermacentor andersoni
Lineage: Eukaryota; Metazoa; Arthropoda; Arachnida; Ixodida; Ixodidae
Source: RefSeq, a predicted model, not a curated record
GCAUUUGACAGCAUUAUAUAAUUUGAGUAAUGAAUUUUUUUUGGAAGAACUGUGUAAAUAGAGAAUAAAAGGAAUGAAAGGCAAGGAGGUUAACGAGGUUGCACGUUGUUUGCCACCCUACACUGGGGAAGGAGAGAAAGCGGGCAGGGAUAGAAAAAGAAGGAAAGGGAGGAAGGAGAGGAGGAAAGGGAUCCGAGGCGACGCGCGCUCACCUGCAACAGCGUUUGCCGUGCAUUCAGAGUGGGUCGCAUAGACCUGUCGUCUUUGAAAAGUACAACAGUACCGUGGCGGCUUUGUGUGGAGAUGACGCUCGAGUCCAUAGUCCCAAUGUCUUCCAAAGGAUGCACAGGCGUGGUUCAAUCGUCGACGAUGGCAGCUGCAAGUGAGAGCUCAGAUGCAAGAGCGGAAUAACUGCUGCGACCUCUGACCUUUGCGAGAAAGUCAACAUCCUGUGCACCAACUCGGCGGAAGCGUGAACCUCAGUAACGUGCACUUCAUUUCCAUGCGACAAAAAAGAAAGAAAAGGAAAAAAAAGACAGAAAAAGAUUAUGCCGAGAUAUGUGUGCUGACGAUGUUGCUGCCGCUAUCGCCAUUAAAGCGGCCAGGUACCCGUGGCAGGCAUGCAGGCGUGUCGUCCCCAGAUGCGACUAAUAAUAAUAAACCACGCGCACAACUGCA